This is a non-coding RNA of Oryza sativa Japonica Group (Japanese rice), 1913 nucleotides long. The record is from RefSeq and is a predicted model, not a curated record. NCBI's taxonomy places the organism in Eukaryota, Viridiplantae, Streptophyta, Magnoliopsida, Poales, Poaceae.
GCAUGCCUUAUAUUAUGGAACAUCUAAUAAAAGCGGUUGUGUCUUAUAUUAUGGAAUGGAGGGAGUAUUUUUUUUUUAAAAAAAGAGAGAUUUAGAGUAAGAGUCGUCUCUUCAAACAUUUUUGAGAAAAAAAAUAUGAGUGUAUUCGGGAUUGAACACGAGACUUAGUUGAAACUAUAUAUCUCUUCUCACUGCACUGUCAAGUGCUCUUAACUUCAAUUUCAAGCAAAGUUAUUUGUCAUCAUGAACGUAUAUAAACUACGAGAACAUAUCCGGUGAAAACGAGUUAAGUGUUCGAAACUCAUGAAAAUAAUAUCUAAAAGUUUUGUAAAUUCAUGAAAAAAUACUAGAGAUAGGUGUAGAUAUGAAAUACAUUCUCACCAAAUUUCAACUCUAAACUCUACUUCAUUAGAGAAAAAAAAGAAACAAAUUUUAGGUGAAUAGUGUCAUGUUAUUAUUCACUUAAAAUUUGUCUUUUUGUUACUCCUAAACAAAGUUAAGUUUGAAGUUGAGAUUUGGUGAGAAUGUAUUUCAUAUCUACACCUAGAUCUAGUAUUUUUUUUCAUGAAUUUAUGAAACUUUUAAGUAUGAUUUUUACCGGUUUCCAAUACUUAGCUCGUUUUCACCGGAUGUCCCCGAAUAACUACAACUAGUAUUUAAUAUCUAUCCAAUAAAUCACUAACUCAUUUAUCAUUUUUACAUUCUUUCAUUCUUCAUUCAUCACUCAACACUUUUAGAUUAUUUGUGUGAAACCCAACGCUUAAAAUUGUCUUCGGGGAGCGCUACAAAUCGGACGUCCGAUAUUAUGCAAAACAUCGGAUGUUGUUGCACAAUAUUGUUACGAAAUGUUUCACAUGUUACACUACUUGAUGAACAAAAUGUUUCAAAUGUUUCAUCAAUCAGGAAAAAAAUGUGUCAUUUCAUAAAUGAAAAUAUUUCUGUUCUCAAACAGAAAUAUUUCGGCAAAUAGAAACAAUGAAACCCAAUUGACUCGCGCCGUGAAACAUUUUAGUGUAGCGUUUGAAACUUUAGGUUUCAUGUAAUGCCCCGAGUUUCAAAAUAGUAUAUUUCGGGGAAUAUUAGCAUAAACGCGCAAAAGUUUAAUUUUUAAACCGUUGUUCGAAUAGGCGAUCAGGAACCGUGGAUGCGUAGAGCUCGCCGAGUAGUGCAAAAUAGACUAUGAGUUUAUAAUAAUCGGAGUCCGAACGAAGUACUGGUGAUUAAAUUAAUUUGGGCCAUUCGAUCUUCAUCAGGAUAUCUAUUUAACCAACUGAAAAAAAAAGAAAAAAAGGAGAAAAGGGGAAGAGAUCGAUAACCCUGCAGCCGCUACAAACCCUAGCCGCCAUCACCCCAAUCGCUGCUGCGCCGUCGCCACAGGUUUAGCCAUCGCCGUCCAGCGCCACUCCUGCUCGACUCCUUGGUGACGUUUCUGUUUCUGUUAACGUUCCCCGCUGCUGCUACUGAUGCUGGUCUGUUGCUGUGCUUCUGGAACGAACAGAGAACAGGAGUUUCAGGAAGCGGGGAAAGCAGGAGGAGAAAAGAAGGAAAAAGGGAAGAGAGGCAAAAGUUGGGGAUUUUCUGGGUUUUCACAAAUUGAUCUCAAAUUCGAUUUCUCCUCUGUAAGGGUACCUAAUGAUAUUGAUCGGCACGGGACGGGAGUAGCACCCUUGAACUACACAUUAUUAUUGCACACUAUUAAAAUUUAGUUUUAGAUUAUGUUUCUACUUAGAUAAGUUUUGCGUAGAACUUAUGAAGGUCAUUUAAAGUUCUGGUCCUUAUUUUUACGUGGAAUUUGUAGAGCUAGGAUGGGUUGGAUUGUGUGGUUUUUAUCGUUAUUGAGUUAUUUUAUAACUACCUGUCGUGGAUGUCUGUAUUUUUAGGUGACUCUGCUGAAAUUUCUAAUAAUUUUGGGA